Dermacentor silvarum is the source of this 2992-nucleotide long non-coding RNA. RefSeq lists it as uncharacterized. The transcript has 2 exons. Lineage: Eukaryota; Metazoa; Arthropoda; Arachnida; Ixodida; Ixodidae. The record is from RefSeq and is a predicted model, not a curated record.
CUGUGAUUGUCGACACACCAUUGGAACGAUCUCGCUGACUGAUUGCAAUGAGUGCUAAGUCAUGGUAACUCUUUCGCAAACAACGAAUCUACUCGUGUACUCAAAACAUAGUUGAUUACCUGCAUACUACUGGAGUUACUGCUUUUGUUGUUGUAGUUUUUUUUUUUCAGGCAUGCAUGACCUGAAAGGUUAAAGAAAAUUAAUUCAGACUAUGAUAUAUAUGGAAUACUGUGCCGCGCAGUGGUCCAAGUCUGGACUUUUGCACGCGGUAAUUAAAGCGACAACGACUUACUAUUUCCCAAUUAGCUUUUGUUCAUCAAGUUCAUCAAAAAAAGAAGAAAAAAAGCCGUUCGUGUUAGGAGGGGUAUGUACAUGGCGCGCAUACGCACCAUGUGCAAAUCCGAAACUGUAAUGACAUAGCUGAAGUUGCCUUUUUUUCCUCCCCCUUCGAAAACUCAAAAUUAAACGACGAAACACUGUGCUCAACCCGCUCCGUUGGAAUGACAAAUACUCGGCGCAGUGCUUCAGUGAAUCUCCGGCGGCGCCCAGAACUGCGAAGCAAGAGGGCACCGAUCGGCCCGGCGGACGUGUGGUGCGUACGGUGGGACUACUUUCUAAUGUGCGCCUCCAUCUAGUGGACUCCGUGAUGCGCGCGUCGCCCGAAGUGCCGUUAUGAACGCUCUCGUUCUCUAGCAAGAUGAGAGAGAGCCAAAAAAGCAUGAAAAAAAUGAAAUAGAACUGUUUACGUCUUCCACAUUGACAGUGCACGCAGCUGUAUACGGUUGUUUUGCAAGGAGCGGAAGGUUUUGUCAAUGAGUUGACGUCCCUUAUGUCUUUUACCCGAGUUGCAAGAGCACAAAUGUCGAGAGAUAGUAGAUAAAUAGGGCUUGAAGGUUUAGCAUCCUCGUCGUCCCUUCUUGGCAAAAUAGCAAAUUUGCAAUGCACAAUAUUAAACAAAAAUUCUGCGCUGCAUCGACUGGAAACUAGAAGCGCCGCUUGCUGCUCAAACGAGUUCUACUGGAUCUGCUGCUGAAAUGCUCGUUUAGAAGCGUUAUGCAGGGCAGCAUGCACGGUUUUCGGUUUUACGCAGAAGCGCUCACUGCGGUGUUAACUCUGCCAUUAGGUAAUUGUUCUUGCAGCUCGGAAAAAAAGCUCUGUAGUGCUUCAAACCUGCAUACUUAGUAGCCGCAGGACUGUACCCUCCGGCCGUGCGCCAGUUGCAAAAAAAAGAAAAAGAAAAAAAAAACGCUCUGUCUGCUACCCCGCGAAGCUUUACUCCUGUAGCUCUACUCCUGCUCUUGCGUAUAGACUUAAGCGUAAACUUGACAAUGUAUACUUAUAGAAUCGUGAAAGUGGCAUCGUAGGUAUGCGUAUCCAAAAUGAGGAAAUCAUUUCCCAUUCUUGAUAUGCCACUCAUUGUGGAUAUGUGUCAUGUGAGUCAACAAUGUGAAAUGUUCGAGUGAAAAGUUGUGUACGCUACUUUUUGAAAGGGUUCGCGGUAGUGCUAUGUUUAGGUGAGGCGUUGGCUGCCGACUACUUUUUGUCAAAGUCAGUCACCUGAUUGGCCUGCAACAUCCCCGUCGCGGAGACAGCGUAAAUAUUUCAGUGAUAAUGCAGUCAUAAAGCGAACAUCUCUCUCUUUCUCUUCUUUUAAAUGUGAAUUGCGCGAAUCGGACAUUUUGCUACAGCUUACGCGUAGCUCCGACCAGUUUUUGCGGCGGUAGCAAGGGUUCUGGCAUAAAGUGUCCAUGCGAUUGGGUGGCAACAGCGCAGUGCUUUUGGAUGCAGCGGCUGCAGUUUACACACAUUGCGCUGCCUUAGCAGUAGCUUUGUUUUGCAUAAAAACGCCGUGAACAAAAUCGCACGUCGCGUCUCUUCAGAACCAUGUCGCAGACCUACGUGGGACGUGCUUCUCGUCACUGGACCAUCAAGACGCUAAAAGAGCACUCGUAACAUCGGUGCGAUGUAGCCCAACCCAGCAACCGCAGAGAUCGCUACGACGUAACCCAGCAACCGCAGAGAUUGCUACGACGUUUCCCGUACAGCACAUUCAACUUGAUUGUCAGCCAAAGGCACCUUCGACUGCGGACUACGAUCGCAUUUGCUGCAAAAUAAAGAGCCCGUUUCAUCGUGUAUAGAGAGAUUGGACAGGCUCGCUUUUCACGCUCGUACCGGCGAUGCCACUAGCUGGCGACGUACAUCGCAUGAGAGACGCUCUUUCCUGCCGCCUAUAGACCCAAGCCAGCGCUUGCUCGCUCUGGAAUUGAUACAAAGUCUUUCUGGAAGAUCACAUCGCUUAACGUCCCUCGUUGUGUUCCUAGCAUUAAUGCCCGCUCCGUUUAUUCUCAAACGUCCGACUUGCACCAUGUCAUUAAACAUACUCGUUCCUUCUAUUUUUCAUUAAUAUACCGGCUAUCCUCAGCAACUCCCUUGCGAUUGUUUGACUGGCGUAUAUGCGGUUCAGAUAUUAUUCAGUGCAGUAGGCGGUCGCCGGGAUCAGCGUGUCUCAGGAAGGUCGCUACCUGAAGAAUGUCAGCAGAUGAAGCGGGCUCACAUAGCGCUAGCGCAAGCUUUCAACGAUAAGUAGCUGGCAUAUUCCGAAAGAGCGACAUGCAAGAUGGCCAGUUAUAUUCUGUGCGCGAAAGAACUUGUUUUGGGCCCACAAACAAUGCUUUCGCGUGUUUGCUUGUGUGUAACGCAACGUAUAUCAGCUGCUCGAAAAACGCAGGCAGCGCGCUCUUAGCACAGAUUAUCGUCCCUUUAAUUCCGAAGUGUUCGCUCGGGUAGUAACCACACAGAUGAAAGAACGUACUCGCGAGUACGUUCCUUCAUCUGUGUGAUUCUCUCGACACAAACUGCGCAAAGUUUGCAAGAAUUUUUUCCAACACAAUCCUUGUAUUUCUCUCUCUAUGUGUGUAUGUAUGUGUGUUUGUGCUUGCUUUCUAUAUUCCAGCUAUAUAGUCUAAUAAAGCUAUUGUUCCGCUAAAAAAAA